UUGAGCCGGAUGAAAGGAAACUUUCACGUUCGAUUUUGAAGGGGGGGAGAUCCUAUAGAAUCCUAUCCCAAU
Non-coding RNA from Capsicum annuum, 72 nucleotides. NCBI's taxonomy places the organism in Eukaryota, Viridiplantae, Streptophyta, Magnoliopsida, Solanales, Solanaceae. The record is from Rfam.